This 406-nucleotide ribosomal RNA is filed under the name uncultured bacterium. RNAcentral describes it as "partial 16S ribosomal RNA". It matches the Rfam family "Bacterial small subunit ribosomal RNA", at positions 29 to 526 of the family's 1533-position model. The record is from RNAcentral.
AUUGAACGCUGGCGGCAGGCUUAACACAUGCAAGUCGAGCGAGGGGCGGACGGGUGAGUAAUGUCGGGGAAAGUGCCUGAUGGGGGGGGAUCACUACCGGAAAGGGUAGCUAAUACCGCAUACCAGCAGAUGUGCCCAGGUGGGUUUAGCUGGUGGGGGGGGUAAUGGCUCACCAAGGCGACGAUCCCUAGCGGGUCUGAGAGGAUGACCAGCCACACUGGGACUGAGACACGGUCCAGACUCCUACGGGAGGCAGCAGUGGGGAAUAUUGCACAAUGGGCGCAAGCCUGAUGCAGCCAUGCCGCGGGUAUGAAGAAGGCCUUCGGGUUGUAAAGGACUUUUGUCAGGGAAGCGGUACCCGCAGAAUAAGCACCGGCUAACUCCGUGCCAGCAGCCGCGGUAAUAC